UUAAGUUAUUAAGGGCGCACGGUGGAUGCCUUGGCACUAGAAGCCGAUGAAGGACGUUACUAACGACGAUAUGCUUUGGGGAGCUGUAAGUAAGCUUUGAUCCAGAGAUUUCCGAAUGGGGAAACCCAGCAUGAGUUAUGUCAUGUUAUCGAUAUGUGAAUACAUAGCAUAUCAGAAGGCACACCCGGAGAACUGAAACAUCUUAGUACCCGGAGGAAGAGAAAGAAAAUUCGAUUCCCUUAGUAGCGGCGAGCGAAACGGGAAGAGCCCAAACCAACAAGCUUGCUUGUUGGGGUUGUAGGACACUCUAUACGGAGUUACAAAGGACGACAUUAGACGAAUCAUCUGGAAAGAUGAAUCAAAGAAGGUAAUAAUCCUGUAGUCGAAAAUGUUGUCUCUCUUGAGUGGAUCCUGAGUACGACGGAGCACGUGAAAUUCCGUCGGAAUCUGGGAGGACCAUCUCCUAAGGCUAAAUACUCUCUAGUGACCGAUAGUGAACCAGUACCGUGAGGGAAAGGUGAAAAGCACCCCGGAAGGGGAGUGAAAUAGAACCUGAAACCGUGUGCUUACAAGUAGUCAGAGCCCGUUAAUGGGUGAUGGCGUGCCUUUUGUAGAAUGAACCGGCGAGUUACGAUUUGAUGCAAGGUUAAGCAGUAAAUGUGGAGCCGUAGCGAAAGCGAGUCUGAAUAGGGCGUUUAGUAUUUGGUCGUAGACCCGAAACCAGGUGAUCUACCCUUGGUCAGGUUGAAGUUCAGGUAACACUGAAUGGAGGACCGAACCGACUUACGUUGAAAAGUGAGCGGAUGAACUGAGGGUAGCGGAGAAAUUCCAAUCGAACCUGGAGAUAGCUGGUUCUCUCCGAAAUAGCUUUAGGGCUAGCCUCAAGUGAUGAUUAUUGGAGGUAGAGCACUGUUUGGACGAGGGGCCCCUCUCGGGUUACCGAAUUCAGACAAACUCCGAAUGCCAAUUAAUUUAACUUGGGAGUCAGAACAUGGGUGAUAAGGUCCGUGUUCGAAAGGGAAACAGCCCAGACCACCAGCUAAGGUCCCAAAAUAUAUGUUAAGUGGAAAAGGAUGUGGCGUUGCCCAGACAACUAGGAUGUUGGCUUAGAAGCAGCCAUCAUUUAAAGAGUGCGUAAUAGCUCACUAGUCGAGUGACACUGCGCCGAAAAUGUACCGGGGCUAAACAUAUUACCGAAGCUGUGGAUUGUCCUUUGGACAAUGGUAGGAGAGCGUUCUAAGGGCGUUGAAGCAUGAUCGUAAGGACAUGUGGAGCGCUUAGAAGUGAGAAUGCCGGUGUGAGUAGCGAAAGACGGGUGAGAAUCCCGUCCACCGAUUGACUAAGGUUUCCAGAGGAAGGCUCGUCCGCUCUGGGUUAGUCGGGUCCUAAGCUGAGGCCGACAGGCGUAGGCGAUGGAUAACAGGUUGAUAUUCCUGUACCACCUAUAAUCGUUUUAAUCGAUGGGGGGGACGCAGUAGGAUAGGCGAAGCGUGCGAUUGGAUUGCACGUCUAAGCAGUAAGGCUGAGUAUUAGGCAAAUCCGGUACUCGUUAAGGCUGAGCUGUGAUGGGGAGAAGACAUUGUGUCUUCGAGUCGUUGAUUUCACACUGCCGAGAAAAGCCUCUAGAUAGAAAAUAGGUGCCCGUACCGCAAACCGACACAGGUAGUCAAGAUGAGAAUUCUAAGGUGAGCGAGCGAACUCUCGUUAAGGAACUCGGCAAAAUGACCCCGUAACUUCGGGAGAAGGGGUGCUCUUUAGGGUUAACGCCCAGAAGAGCCGCAGUGAAUAGGCCCAAGCGACUGUUUAUCAAAAACACAGGUCUCUGCUAAACCGUAAGGUGAUGUAUAGGGGCUGACGCCUGCCCGGUGCUGGAAGGUUAAGAGGAGUGGUUAGCUUCUGCGAAGCUACGAAUCGAAGCCCCAGUAAACGGCGGCCGUAACUAUAACGGUCCUAAGGUAGCGAAAUUCCUUGUCGGGUAAGUUCCGACCCGCACGAAAGGCGUAACGAUUUGGGCACUGUCUCAACGAGAGACUCGGUGAAAUCAUAGUACCUGUGAAGAUGCAGGUUACCCGCGACAGGACGGAAAGACCCCGUGGAGCUUUACUGUAGCCUGAUAUUGAAAUUCGGCACAGCUUGUACAGGAUAGGUAGGAGCCUUUGAAACGUGAGCGCUAGCUUACGUGGAGGCGCUGGUGGGAUACUACCCUAGCUGUGUUGGCUUUCUAACCCGCACCACUUAUCGUGGUGGGAGACAGUGUCAGGCGGGCAGUUUGACUGGGGCGGUCGCCUCCUAAAAGGUAACGGAGGCGCUCAAAGGUUCCCUCAGAAUGGUUGGAAAUCAUUCAUAGAGUGUAAAGGCAUAAGGGAGCUUGACUGCGAGACCUACAAGUCGAGCAGGGUCGAAAGACGGACUUAGUGAUCCGGUGGUUCCGCAUGGAAGGGCCAUCGCUCAACGGAUAAAAGCUACCCCGGGGAUAACAGGCUUAUCUCCCCCAAGAGUUCACAUCGACGGGGAGGUUUGGCACCUCGAUGUCGGCUCAUCGCAUC
This 2546-nucleotide ribosomal RNA is filed under the name Staphylococcus aureus. RNAcentral's name for it is "bacterial LSU rRNA". It matches the Rfam family "Bacterial large subunit ribosomal RNA", at positions 3 to 2546 of the family's 2925-position model. The record is from RNAcentral. Lineage: Bacteria; Bacillati; Bacillota; Bacilli; Caryophanales; Staphylococcaceae.